CAAUCAAAAUCGAUUUCAUCGUCUUCUUUCUCUCUUUCUCUCUUCAUCGUCAUUCAUCAUCAUCAUCAAAUCUCAGGAUCUUGGAGGUGGCUCUUCUCUUUCGUACCUACCUUCUAGACUGUGAUUUCCAAUCUUCGAACUCUCGUAGAGGAUUGCAAGAGCUGCUGAGUCCACGAGUUCUUCUCCAUCAGUAGCUUCCGGUGAUACAACCCUAAUCCAUGAUGAUGAAUUCACUCUAACCAAGGUUAUAUUGCUGUCAACCUAUCAAAUCCCUAAUCAAGAGUUUCUUCAAAUUCAGUGUGUCAAUGUGAUCGAGCACUUAGUGAAGUAGAUGAGAUUUUUGGUUAAUCAUAUUUUCCAGUUUUACUUGCGGAGACAAAUCUUCACUUUCGAUCAAUUCAUGGGUCCAGUCCGGUUCAAAGACAUCACGUAACAGUUAGCACUCCUCGGUCAGU
Arabidopsis lyrata subsp. lyrata is the source of this 455-nucleotide long non-coding RNA. RefSeq lists it as uncharacterized. The record is from RefSeq and is a predicted model, not a curated record. Lineage: Eukaryota; Viridiplantae; Streptophyta; Magnoliopsida; Brassicales; Brassicaceae. The transcript is spliced from 3 exons.